This is a non-coding RNA of Glossina austeni, 86 nucleotides long. The record is from Rfam. NCBI's taxonomy places the organism in Eukaryota, Metazoa, Arthropoda, Insecta, Diptera, Glossinidae.
GUAGUUUUUAGUACGUAAGCGCCAUGGAUGGCGAAUCAUGCACGCUGCUACUAAGAAACAGCAGUAUCUUCCGAAGAUUUUCUACC